UACGGAGGGUGCAAGCGUUAGUCGGAUUUACUGGGCGUAAAGGGUGCGUAGGCGGAUGUGUAAGUCAGACGUGAAAUUCCGAAGCUCAACUUCGGAGCGGCAUCUGAAACUGCACAACUAGCGGAAUGGCGGAGAAAACGGAAUUCCACGUGUAGCGGUGAAAUGCGUAGAUAUGUGGAAGAACACCUGUGGCGAAAGCGGUUUUCUAGCCUACUCCGGACGCUGAGGCACGAAAGCAAGGGGAUCAAACAGG
Molecule: ribosomal RNA, 253 nt
Filed under: uncultured bacterium
Lineage: Bacteria
Description: partial 16S ribosomal RNA
Rfam family: Bacterial small subunit ribosomal RNA
Source: RNAcentral